This 992-nucleotide ribosomal RNA is filed under the name Enterococcus faecium. Its description in RNAcentral is "partial 23S ribosomal RNA". It matches the Rfam family "Bacterial large subunit ribosomal RNA", at positions 12 to 1005 of the family's 2925-position model. The record is from RNAcentral. Lineage: Bacteria; Bacillati; Bacillota; Bacilli; Lactobacillales; Enterococcaceae.
UAAGGGCGCACGGUGGAUGCCUUGGCACUAGGAGCCGAUGAAGGACGGGACUAACACCGAUAUGCUUUGGGGAGCUGUACGUAAGCUAUGAUCCAGAGAUUUCCGAAUGGGGGAACCCAACAUCUUUAAUAGGAUGUUACGAUUGUGUGAAUACAUAGCACAUUCGAGGUAGACGCAGAGAACUGAAACAUCUAAGUACCUGCAGGAAGAGAAAGAAAAUUCGAUUCCCUGAGUAGCGGCGAGCGAAACGGGAAAAGCCCAAACCAGCAAGCUUGCUUGUUGGGGUUGUAGGACUCCAAUAUGGUAGUUCUUUCAGAUAGUCGAAUGACUUGGAAAAGUCAGUCAAAGAGGGUAAAAACCCCGUAGACGAAAUGUGGAAGACACCUAGGAGGAUCCUGAGUACGGCGGAACACGAGAAAUUCCGUCGGAAUCCGGGAGGACCAUCUCCCAAGGCUAAAUACUCCCUAGUGACCGAUAGUGAACCAGUACCGUGAGGGAAAGGUGAAAAGCACCCCGGAAGGGGAGUGAAAUAGAACCUGAAACCGUGUGCCUACAACAAGUCAAAGCCCGUUAAUGGGUGAUGGCGUGCCUUUUGUAGAAUGAACCGGCGAGUUACGAUUGCAUGCGAGGUUAAGUUGAAGAGACGGAGCCGCAGCGAAAGCGAGUCUGAAUAGGGCGUUUGAGUAUGUAGUCGUAGACCCGAAACCAUGUGAUCUACCCAUGUCCAGGUUGAAGGUGCGGUAAAACGCACUGGAGGACCGAACCCACGUACGUUGAAAAGUGCGGGGAUGAGGUGUGGGUAGCGGAGAAAUUCCAAACGAACUUGGAGAUAGCUGGUUCUCUCCGAAAUAGCUUUAGGGCUAGCCUCGGAAUUGAGAAUGAUGGAGGUAGAGCACUGUUUGGACUAGGGGCCCAUCUCGGGUUACCGAAUUCAGAUAAACUCCGAAUGCCAUUCAUUCAUAUCCGGGAGUCAGACUGUGAGUGAUAAGAUC